CUUCUUAAAAAAAUAUAUUUCUUCUUUCUUUGGUUUUCUCUGCAAGUCUCCUAAUCCGGCGAGAACCCUGGCCAGGCACCACCGUCCUCCACCGCGCCGACCAUCGCCGGCCGCCAUGAAGUUCAAAAUUUCCCUUUUUUUAGGUGAAUCGGAGAGUUAAGUUCACUCUCUUCCUUUUCAUUCUUUUUUAUUAUUAUUCUUCUUCUUGAUAAGUUUAUUUAUAAUAGGUUCAAAAAAGAGAAAAUAAAAAGGAAAAAAAUACCUUAAUGCACAUUUGAACCCGAUUUCUUUAAAGUUUGCUUGCUGUUGGUGUUUCCCUUUUCAUAUUUAGAUGUCUGUUUGAAUCAAUGCCUUUGUAUUAUUCAUGUCCAGAAAGAAUACAUUUGAUUUAUAAUGGCUUUUAUAGCCAUUUAUAAUACUUUUUAAUCUAUUUUUUAUGCUUACUGUCACUGUUGCUUGUGUGCAGGUGCAAUUUGAGGGCGGUGGACGUGACAAGGCGAUGUUGCAAGCGGUGGCUGGUCAGAAGACCCUAGGGGCGGCAGCGAGUAGACUAGAGGGUUAGGGUUUCUUUUCUUUGUUUAGGUUUUGGGCUUUUAGAAUAUGGGUUAGGGUUUGUUUUAAUUUAGUAAUUAGGCUAAUUUGGGUUUUGGGUCUGAGGUUGGGGUUUUAGUUUUAGUGGUUAAGUGGUAAUGGGUUUGGGGUUAUAAUGGAUGAGAGCUUUGGUCUAUUGGGCUUUGAGAUUGGGUUUAAAGGUGCAAGAUGAACUGUUUAUGAACCAUUUUAUUGGCCCGGACAAAUUAGGGGUCUUACAGUUACUACUAUAUUUAUACUAAUCACAUAUAAAUAUAUCGCUCAUCUAAAUUAACCCUAAGCAGAUGAUAACAAAGAUGGUGGAGAAAAGUGUGACGGGUAAGGGUUUAUAAAAAGAACGUAAGAAAAAUAAGAAAUGAAAGACAAGAGUGAGAAAAAGGGACGAAUGACAGUGUUGGCAGGGAACGCCACUCGAAUCCGGCAAAAUCUACAAUAAAAAGAAUAACUGCUAGGGUUUGCGGGAGGAAAAGAACACAAGAAGAUGAAAGAAGAGAUUAAAAGAAAAGAAGAAAAAGUUUGAGAAAAAAAAUGAGUAACUAAUUUAAUCAAUCUCUUCAACAGCAAGAACUCAAUUAAUAAAAAAAAA
Molecule: long non-coding RNA, 1177 nt
Filed under: Gossypium barbadense (sea-island cotton)
Lineage: Eukaryota; Viridiplantae; Streptophyta; Magnoliopsida; Malvales; Malvaceae
Description: long non-coding RNA (GBAR_LNC000058)
Source: RNAcentral